RNAcentral lists this ribosomal RNA (253 nucleotides) under uncultured bacterium. RNAcentral describes it as "partial 16S ribosomal RNA". It matches the Rfam family "Bacterial small subunit ribosomal RNA", at positions 524 to 776 of the family's 1533-position model. The record is from RNAcentral.
UACAGAGGGUGCGACCGUUGUUCGGAAUUACUGGGCGUAAAGCGCAUGUAGGCGGCAGCGCAAGUCGGGCGUGAAAUCCCACGGCUCAACCGUGGAAGUGCACUCGAAACUGCGCAGCUAGAGUCCUGGAGAGGAAGGUGGAAUGCUUGGUGUAGAGGUGAAAUUCGUAGAUAUCAAGCGGAACACCGGUGGCGAAGGCGGCCUUCUGGACAGUGACUGACGCUGAGAUGCGAAAGCGUGGGGAGCAAACAGG